GAGGAAAGAAACCAACAGGGAUUGCCCUAGUAACGGCGAGUGAAGCGGCAACAGCUCAAAUUUGAAAUCUGGCUCUUUCAGGGUCCGAGUUGUAAUUUGCAGAGGGUGCUUUGGUGUUGGCGGCGGUCUAAGUUCCUUGGAACAGGACAUCGCAGAGGGUGAGAAUCCCGUAUGUGGUCGCCCGCCUUCGCCGUGUAAAGCCCCUUCGACGAGUCGAGUUGUUUGGGAAUGCAGCUCUAAAUGGGAGGUAAAUUUCUUCUAAAGCUAAAUACCGGCCAGAGACCGAUAGCGCACAAGUAGAGUGAUCGAAAGAUGAAAAGCACUUUGGAAAGAGAGUCAAACAGCACGUGAAAUUGUUAAAAGGGAAGCGCUUGCAGCCAGACUUGCCUGUAGUUGCUCACCCGGGCUCCUGCCCGGGGCACUCUUCUGCAGGCAGGCCAGCAUCAGUUUGGGCGGUAGGAUAAAGGCCCCUGACACGUAUCUCCCUUCGGGGUUAACAUAUAGGGGGGGCGCAAUGCUACCAGCCCGGACUGAGGUCCGCGCAUCUGCUAGGAUGCUGGCGUAAUGGCUGUAAGCGGCCCGUCUUGAAACACGGACCAAGGAGUCUAACAUCUAUGCGAGUGUUUGGGUGUCAAGCCCGAGCGCGUAAUGAAAGUGAACGGAGGUGGGAACCCCUCGGGGCGCACCAUCGACCGAUCCUGAUGUCUUCGGAUGGAUUUGAGUAAGAGCAUAGCUGUUGGGACCCGAAAGAUGGUGAACUAUGCUUGAAUAGGGUGAAGCCAGAGGAAACUCUGGUGGAGGCUCGCAGCGGUUCUGACGUGCAAAUCGA
RNAcentral lists this ribosomal RNA (829 nucleotides) under Periconia spodiopogonis. RNAcentral describes it as "partial large subunit ribosomal RNA". It matches the Rfam family "Eukaryotic large subunit ribosomal RNA", at positions 53 to 901 of the family's 3401-position model. Lineage: Eukaryota; Fungi; Ascomycota; Dothideomycetes; Pleosporales; Periconiaceae. The record is from RNAcentral.